AGGUGAACAAUAGCACUUCAAAACUCCUUCAAAAAUACACAUAAUAACUUCUAGUCAAUAUUCACGUAUUUACAAACAUAAAAUCGAAAUAUAAUAUUCAUAACAAUAAAUUAGGGGAAGACAGGAAAUUGCCUUUUUAUGCUUCAGAAUAAUGUAAAAAUUAUGCUAACUCUGCAGUAUUCCAUAUUCAGUCAUUUUAUGAUGUCAUUUUAACCUUAGAACUUGGGAAGAAGCUCCGUUCAGCACCACCAAUAUGUGCUCUAGGCUAUUCACAUGUCACAUGUGAAAAUUGAGGUGGUUUGUAGUUUAUCAAAAUGCAACAACAAUCAGCCUACUGAUCCCAUUGUAUGUCUAGCUAAGUAUUAGAACAGAAACUUAAAAAAAGAACCAUGGACUAACAAACUAUAAAUAAGCAAAGGAACUCGAUGCACUCUUUUUGAAGACAAUUAUUCUUAUCUCCUAUAGGCAGCAGGAGAAUCAUCCACACUAACUGCUGAAAAUAUGAUAUGCAUACCCUCUUGUUAGAAAGGAAACUCAUACUUGAUAGCUUUUCUAUCAUUUAGUUCUUGCCGGUAUGAGAAUUCUUGAGAGUAAAAAUCAUGCUCAACUCUUCUGCUAUGUCUAGACAAAAUAUAUGUUAAAACUAUGAACUAUUAAAAUGAAACCGCCAUCUCUGUAUAGUUUAUUCUACAUGUACUGCAAAAUUUGUCGCAAAGUUAUAUAUGUACUAUUAGAAUUAUCAGCAUACAAAAUAUUAGUUAUUUUGAAACUUCUGCAUAUUGUGAAAGAAAAUUGAACAAUAAAAACUGAAAAGAAGUUCUACUGCAAAAGCCAACCUUAAGUAAAUUGAUUUUCGAAAGUACAUCUAUAUUGUACACACCUACCUCAAAAAUUGCCUCCUAUUUAGACAAUAAGGCAUAACCCUUGGCGUGUCAAGAUUUGGUAACAUCUAUCAACUAUAAUAGAAGGUACUGCAAAACCAGGGUAUAGACAAAAAGCAGGCCAUGUGAAGUUCACCGUGAACAUGAUUUGAGGACAUCUAAUAAAAUAGUCCAUCCUCUAUUUAUAUAAUUCCUGGGUGGAAAGAAUGACAAUUCAUACUCAUACUCUGUAUUGGACGCAAUGAGGGCGGUGUAGUGUUGUGAAUCAAUUGGAACAACUUCACAUGUACAUAGAAAAUGGGGUAUUCCGUUCACCUAAAGUGCCAGGAAACCACCAAUAAUAAUGUAAAUUAGGGUGCCCAUAUAUGUGGUAGCACAUUACGUGACGCCUUCUUCAAGAUGUGCAACAGUGAUUCAUUUCUAUAUAAUACAUAUCUCGAGAGAGGAGAGCACCCGCAUUACAAUCUUCGCUCAGUAGUCAUACUAUGUACUCCCUCCGUCUCAAAAUAAGUGUCUUAACUUUAUACUAACUCUAGUACAAAGUUAUACUAAGCUUGAGACAGUUAUUUUGGGACGGAGGGAGUAUAUUUUAACAGAAAGAGUAAGCAAAAUUUAUUGUCGAAUAGGGCUUACAUCUUAUUCCGGCCAUAACCUUGCCAUUUAUCUAUCUAUUGAAGCAGCAAAAAUCAUGUCUAGUUCUACAUUCUUACCAGUCCAUCCUUUCAAAGGUAUAGAACAAAAAUGCUAGACUUAAGGACAACAUCUUGAUCUUCGAAUGGGGUCCUCUGUCCUUUUGAUUUUCCAUCACAUCUUUACAACUCAUCGCAUAACUUGAUUCCCAUGGAAAUAGUCUAUAGGUGUAGUGUUGUCCUUAGUAGAAAUAAGUCAAAAUAUUUAACCUAACCUUGCCCGACUAAUGUAAAACAAUGUUAAUUGAGUAGUAAGGGUAGUUCAACAAAGAAAAAAAGUAUAUAUGAUGGCAACAGAAAAGUCAUUCACCAAAUUCAUAUUAUAUCAGUUCACACACGUACAGAAUAUAACAUCUGUGAGAACACACAGAAAUAAGUUUAGAUGCAACUUCCAUAGAUGUAAAAUAAUAAUUUCGGAGUACAUAUCCGAUGGUGAAUAUUUCGAGCUAAUCUGCACACAGUGUUUGUAAAAAACAUACCAAAAAAACCAAUUUUUUGUUGCUAUCCAGGAACUUAAAACUUUAGUAGAGAGGGACAGAGAGCGUACCUAGGUCUGUAGCAGAAGGGGCCUGGGAGUUCAAGUGCAUGUGCUCUUUCAUAAAGAACCCAGGUAAGAGGAAAGCAAUUGUACCGCUGGUGAGAAUAGAUCCGGAUUCCAUGCUCGGAGGAGUCGCUGGGAGAUGUUGUCGAUCAACACAUCACAAUAUCAUCGACGUAGGGGGCAUGAGGCCUAAUAGGACCAGACACCCGUUUCUCAAGAUCGCUGCGGGAGCUAGGAUAGAACGCAAGGUUGGAGAAUUUUAGGUCAUCGGUGGAUUCGUUAGUCCUUCAAGAUUGAGGAGGCGGCGGAGGUCCACAGCGGAGAGAGAUUUAUUUUGGAAAAGACAAUGACGGAGAGAUUUGUCUGUUCUUUUUUACUCAAGAGAGAUAUUUUUCUGAGGGAACUAAAGAGAGAUAUUUGUUACAUUGAGAUAUAUAUUUUUUUACUUAAGAG
This 2564-nucleotide long non-coding RNA is filed under the name Hordeum vulgare. RNAcentral's name for it is "long non-coding RNA (HVUL_LNC015027)". Lineage: Eukaryota; Viridiplantae; Streptophyta; Magnoliopsida; Poales; Poaceae. The record is from RNAcentral.